Non-coding RNA from Schistocerca americana (American grasshopper), 74 nucleotides. The record is from the annotation of a RefSeq genome assembly. Lineage: Eukaryota; Metazoa; Arthropoda; Insecta; Orthoptera; Acrididae.
CCCUCGCUGGCUCAGCUGGAUAGAGCGCCUGUCUUGUAAGUAGGGGAUCCCGGGUUCGAGUCCCGGUCGGGGAA